UUCGGUAGGCAGAACUACAUACAGUCAGUCUGGCUUUCAAGUUUGGUUGAAAUGGUAAGCUUGGGAUGGGAUUUAGAGUUUUAUUUGACAUAUUUAUGUAAUUGUUACAUUGUAUACAAUUGUAAACUAUUACAUUAAGCCAAUUAAGUUCAAUGAAGCUGUUCAGAUUUUACUGCAGAUUGGACUGAGACAGUUGAUAAUGUGUUGAAAAGACAUCUGGAUGGACACAGCACUAUCCUACCACACCUUUCUUCAAGCAAGAAGCUUUUACUUUGGAACUGGAUGCAAUUAUAAAGAAGAAACGGACCUUCAUUUGGAAUACUAACAACAUUUUCAUUAUGCCAACUUGAAUGGCAUGGCUUUUGAGGAAACCUAACCCUGAUUGUUUUGAAAGUGUUCACAAGAGUGGUCGAGUUUACUUUUGAGGAAUCUUCUGAAGUCUUUACGGGAACAAAAUCGCAAAAUGGAUCAAGCAAGCGGUGGAGAAGAUCCUAAUAAAGCUAAUAAAAAGAAAGAAAAAGAGGAUGAGAGUAAAAACAAAAAACUGCGUGACCGGAUCACCAGUUUUCGGAAGACUGGGAAUAAAAAGGACAAGCCCCUGAUUCAGCACUCCACAGACCCCCUGUCCACUCAGGUAGAGAUGCCCAUGCCCCAGCCCCUCUUCGACGACCGCUCCAUGAACCUCUCCGAGAAGGAGAUCAAUGACCUCUUUGAGAAGAUGAUGGAGGACAUGAACCUGAAUGAGGAGCGUAAAGCCCCCCUGCGUGGGAAGGACCUGAGCACCAAGCGAGAGAUGGUUGUCCAGUACAUCUCUGCCACCGCUAAAUCUGGAGGACUGAGGAACAGCAAGCAUGAGUGUACACUAUCAUCACAGGAGUAUGUCCACGAGCUGCGCUCUGGCAUCACUGAUGACAAGCUGCUGAUCUGCCUGGAGUCCCUUCGUGUCUCUCUCACCAGUAACCCUGUCAGCUGGGUGAACAACUUUGGCCAUGAAGGACUGGGCCUCCUCUUGGAUGCAUUGGAUAAGUUGCUGGAUAAGAAACAGCCAGAAAGUAUAGACAAAAGGAACCAGCACAAGCUGAUCCAGUGUCUCAAGGCCUUCAUGAACAAUAAGUAUGGACUGCAAAGGAUUCUGGGAGAUGAGCGAAGCUUGCUUCUCCUGGCCAGGGCCAUUGACCCAAAACAGACCAGUAUGAUGACAGAGAUCGUCAAGAUCCUCUCAGCUAUCUGCAUCAUUGGAGAGGAAAACAUCCUGGAUAAGAUCCUGGCUGCCAUGACGAUUGCGGCGGAGAGGAAUAACAAGGAGAGAUUUUCUCCGAUAGUGGAGGGACUGGAGAAUCACGAGGCCCAACAGCUCCAGGUGGCCUGCAUGCAGCUGAUCAACGCUCUGGUCACCUCUCCAGACGAUCUGGACUUCAGGAUACAUCUGCGCAACGAGUUCCUCCGCUGUGGCCUCAAGAAGAUCCUCCCGCUGAAAGAGACAGAGGAGCUGGACAUCCAACUGAAGGUGUUCAACGAGAACAAGGAGGAGGACUCCAUUGAGGUCUCCCAUCGCCUCGAUGACAUCCGCGCCGAGAUGGAAUAUCCUUUUGUGUACCAUCUCCUGUCCAACAUGGUGAAAGACACCGGGUCGGAGACCUACUUCCUGUCCAUCCUACAGCACCUCCUGCUCAUCAGGAACGACUACUACAUCAGGCCCCAGUACUACAAGGUCAUAGAGGAAUGUGUGUCUCAGGUGGUUCUCCAUCGCAGCGGGAUGGACCCAGACUUCGGAUACAGAGAGAGACUGGAUGUAGACUUCACCCACCUCAUUGGUAGGUCUGCCAGAGCUCUGGAUGACAGGGGAAUGUGUCCCAUCAUUAACAUUGAUCUCCCAUCUUUGCAGAUUGCAGCCGGACCAGCGGCGGCCGGGACAGGAGUCCCACCUCCAGCCCUACCGGGGGGAUUAGCACCCCCUCCUCCGCCGCCUCCUGGCAUGGCCAGCAUGCCCCCUCCGCCCCCGCCACCUCCAGGCGUAGGGCCACCCCCACCACCCCCUCCCCCCGGUUGUGGACCCCCACCUCCUCCGCCCUUCCCCGGGGCUCCAGGUAUCCCUCCGCCUCCUAUGAUGGCCAUACCUGUCAUCAAGCUGCCUUAUGGACUGGUGGCCAAGAAGACCUACAAGCCUGAGGUCGUCAUGAAGAGGGUCAACUGGUCCAAGAUAGUGCCUCAGGAAAUGGCGGAGAAUUGCUUCUGGAUCAAAGUCAAAGAGGAGAAGUUUGAGAAUCAAGAAUUCUUUGAACAGCUCUCCCUCAGCUUUUCCUCCAGGACCAAAGUGAAAAAUGAGGUGGAUGAGACAGACGCCAGGGUGACGCAAUUCAAGAAAAAGGCGAAGGAGCUGCGAAUCUUGGACGCAAAGACGGCACAGAAUUUGUCAAUUUUCCUGGGCUCAUUCCGGCUGCCUUAUGAAGAGAUCCGGGACAUUGUGCUGGAGGUGGACGAGGGGAGGCUGAGCGAAUCACUGAUCCAGAACCUGAUAAAGAACCUACCAGAACAGAAGGAGCUGAGCGCUCUGGCAGAACUGAAGAAUGAGUACGAGGAACUAUGUGAGCCUGAACAGUUUGGCAUUGUGAUGAGCUCUGUGAAGCUGCUGCGCUCACGCCUCAACGGAAUCCUUUUCAAGCUGACCUUCGAGGAGCAGGUGAACAACAUCCGUCCAGACAUCAUGAAUGUGACGUUCGCCUGCGAGGAGGUGAAGAAGAGUGACAGCUUCAGCAAGCUGCUGGAGAUGGUAUUGCUGGUGGGCAACUACAUGAACGCUGGCUCCCGGAAUGCCCAGACCUUUGGCUUCAACAUCAGCUUCCUCUGCAAGCUUCGAGACACUAAGUCGGCCGACCAAAACACAACGCUGCUCCACUUCCUGGCUGAGAAGUGUGAAGAAAAGUACCCGGAGAUCCUGAGGUUCCCUGAAGAGCUGCAGCACGUGGAGAGUGCUAGCAAAGUUUCUGCCGAGAUCCUGAAGAGCAGUCUCAGCACCAUGGAGAGACACAUCCAGAGGCUAGAAAAUGACAUUGAGAACUUCCCAAAGACGGACGACAAAAAGGAUAAGUUUGUGGAAAAAUUAUCCAUAUCCUUUUCAUGCUUUUUAUUAAUUUCUCACAUUCAAUAUGAGAAGCUGUCCACCAUGCACAAGAACAUGCAGAAGCUAUACGAGAGCCUGGGCAGCUACUACGCCUUCGACCCCCACGUCCUCUGCGUCGAGGACUUCUUCGGUGACCUGGCCUCCUUCCGUACCCUCUUUGUGGAAGCAGUGAAGGACAACCACAAGAAGAGGGAGAUGGAGGAGAAGAUCAAGAGAGCCCGACUGGCCAAGGAGAAAGCGGAGCACGCGAAGCAGGAGCGCCAGCAGAAAAAGAAGCAGCUGAUUGACAUGAACAAAGAGAAUGAAACAGGUGUGAUGGACAGCCUAAUGGAAGCCCUGCAGUCCGGAGCAGCCUUCCGCGAUCGCCGAAAACGAACCCCGCGCAACGGUAAGGUCCCCACGCCUCUGUUGAAGUAA
Molecule: long non-coding RNA, 3538 nt
Organism: Salmo trutta (river trout)
Lineage: Eukaryota; Metazoa; Chordata; Actinopteri; Salmoniformes; Salmonidae
Product: protein diaphanous homolog 2-like
Source: Ensembl